GACUGGUCUGAAGGUAGUUGUCUUAAUUGUUCAUGGUUAUAAAUCAAACUCCUUGUUAUUCUCUUUUCCUACUUUUCACAAUUGCACUUCACUAGUCUUUC
Unclassified non-coding RNA from Otolemur garnettii (small-eared galago), 101 nucleotides. It matches the Rfam family "Y RNA". Rfam says of the family: Y RNAs are components of the Ro ribonucleoprotein particle (Ro RNP), in association with Ro60 and La proteins. The Y RNAs and Ro60 and La proteins are well conserved, but the function of the Ro RNP is not known. In humans the RNA component can be one of four small RNAs -- hY1, hY3, hY4 and hY5. The record is from Ensembl. NCBI's taxonomy places the organism in Eukaryota, Metazoa, Chordata, Mammalia, Primates, Galagidae.